GAUGAACGCUGGCGGCGUGCCUAAUACAUGCAAGUCGAGCGAACGGACUAGAAGCUUGCUUCUCUGGUGUUAGCGGCGGACGGGUGAGUAACACGUGGAUAACCUACCUAUAAGACUGGGAUAACUUCGGGAAACCGGAGCUAAUACCGGAUAAUAUUUUGAACCGCAUGGUUCAAAAGUGAAAGACGGUCUUGCUGUCACUUAUAGAUGGAUCCGCGCUGCAUUAGCUAGUUGGUAAGGUAACGGCUUACCAAGGCAACGAUGCAUAGCCGACCUGAGAGGGUGAUCGGCCACACUGGAACUGAGACACGGUCCAGACUCCUACGGGAGGCAGCAGUAGGGAAUCUUCCGCAAUGGGCGAAAGCCUGACGGAGCAACGCCGCGUGAGUGAUGAAGGUCUUCGGAUCGUAAAACUCUGUUAUUAGGGAAGAACAUAUGUGUAAGUAACUGUGCACAUCUUGACGGUACCUAAUCAGAAAGCCACGGCUAACUACGUG
RNAcentral lists this ribosomal RNA (497 nucleotides) under uncultured bacterium. RNAcentral's name for it is "partial 16S ribosomal RNA". It matches the Rfam family "Bacterial small subunit ribosomal RNA", at positions 28 to 507 of the family's 1533-position model. The record is from RNAcentral.